AAAUGCGGGGGAACAGGACAUUUACUUUUAUUAAAGAUGAUCGCAAUUUUAUUAACAAAAUACUCUGCCGGGGCCGACGGGGAUUUCAGUUUUGGCGGACCCAAGCGGACUUAAAUAUUGCCGGCCAUCAGGUCCUGCACAGCUACGAGUUUUGCCGGACCUGCAUAAAUUCUGCCCCUUAGGUCCGACGGGUCCGACGAUUAGUUGCAUCUCUGUAA
Molecule: long non-coding RNA, 218 nt
Filed under: Mytilus galloprovincialis (Mediterranean mussel)
Lineage: Eukaryota; Metazoa; Mollusca; Bivalvia; Mytilida; Mytilidae
Source: RNAcentral